Molecule: ribosomal RNA, 277 nt
Filed under: uncultured bacterium
Lineage: Bacteria
Description: partial 16S ribosomal RNA
Rfam family: Bacterial small subunit ribosomal RNA
Source: RNAcentral
CGUCCCGCCGGCGACCGGCGCACGGGUGAGUAACACGUAUGAAACCUGCCCGUAGCAGGGGGAUAAGCGGAAGAAAUUCCGUCUAAUACCGCGUAACAACCCGAGGAGGCAUCUCCUCGGGUUUAAAGGAAGCGAUUCCGGCUACGGAUGGUCAUGCGUCGCAUUAGCUAGUUGGCGGGGUAACGGCCCACCAAGGCGACGAUGCGUAGGGGUUCUGAGAGGAAGGUCCCCCACACUGGUACUGAGACACGGACCAGACUCCUACGGGAGGCAGCAG